GUAGGUAUGAAGUUCUUAUUGCUCUCAUUCCGACACGUACAGGACCAGGGCCAGCCAGUAGCAGCCUGCUCACUCUAUUUCUCACAUUCCUAUGGCAGACGUGACUAAUCGAGCCUGCAGUCUUCCUCCUUAGGCUGACCAGUGAUGUCUGCCCUGGAGUGGGAGCAAGGGAGGAAAGGAAAGCUAUUUGCCAACGCAAUGCUGUACAGACUUUACCGCUUGGAAACCAACACAAAGCUCUAAUAGGUGCCUGAAUGCUAAUCGCUGCCCCUGUUUAGGUCAGAAGCCAAUAAACUGCCACUGGGAGUAGGGGCAGGAGGCAGAAUCCAUAAGAGAGUAACUACCAACCAAGCUUGAGAGAAGGAAACAUCUGCUAGAAGAGAGUGUCUUGUUCCACAAUUGUUCUCUUCUGGACAAGCCACUAUCCCAAGCUCUGAGGGUAGCACCAAGCCACAUGGGAGAUGAGCCAACAAACCCAGGGGGGGUUAAGUGGCAUGGCCAAGAUGACCCUCUAGAAGGGGCUAGAACCAGCUUCCGUGCUUUUUACCUUUGGGCAGGCAGCAAGGUUUGCAAACACCCACAUAUUACCCAACCAUCCUUGCAGAGAGAGGCCCACAGACCCUGCAGCCAGAGAGCAGCCUGAAAUGUGAGACCUGGCAAGCCCUUGGCCAGGUUCUCAGAGCCUGAGAAGCAACCUCAGUGAAAUCCAGAAGGCACUAUAUCAAGAAGCCGGCAGUUUGGGAACAAUCCUGCUAAGUCAUAAAUGCUUCAAAUUCUUCGGCUUUUGCCUUCAGAAUUUCUGGCAGCCUUGGGCAGGGGGCAAGUGUUCGCGGACAGACACUGACUCGCCUCGUCUCUGUUAGGGAAGGCCAAGACAGACUGAGACGGAGAAGCCAGCAGACCAACUCUCCUCUAGAAAAGUCUGCGGGUGGGAAGUGCUUUGCUGUGGAUACUCUGGUGCCCACCCAGAACCCCAUUAAAACCCAGGCUCCCAUGCCCCCACAUCCUCUCCCUUCCCCCUACAGCUGCCUCCCAGGCCGCCAUCAACCUCAGCCAAGGAGGCGGGUGGUCCAAGUCUACACGCCCUCCCCUGGGGACCCAAGCACUGGUCCACAGUGACACAGAGGCCAGUACCUUGUUUCUGUCCAUGCCGUCUCCACGUAACCAGCCCUUCAGAACUCCUGGCGAGAGUUGCAGCUGCCUCACUGUUGAGCUUUCCUCCCCACCCGCUCCUGCUCCCUCUCAGGUGUUGGCCCUGUGAUCCGCGCUCCCAGCAGGUGUAUCUUGUUCCCCACUCCCUGUCUGCCUGGCACUGGCAGUCCCCCAUCUUAGAGUGGGCUUCCCAGGAAGCUGAUCUGCAGAGCCUAGAAAGGGGAGGAAGAGUCAUGGGGUCUGGGUGCUGAGAGCACUGUGAAAUAAUCUCAUUCAGCCCCACCGCCCCACCGUGGAAACAGCCUGCCAGAGGCCACAGAGUGGACUGUUAGUACAGCUGGCCCCAGGCGCUCUGACCCCACUACGGGAUGAUAUGAAAAUUGCUUACAUGUCCGAUGUUGGGCUGCACCCCACAGGCCUGCAAGCCUUGUAGUUGUUCAGCCUCAAGACAACUAAACAGUCCAGAGACAGUGACAGAGGCCUCAGUGGUUUCACGGCUAGGGAGACCUUACACGUCUGAAGCAAGGCCAGAGCGACACCCCGCCAUGUGCGGUGGGGAGGACACAGCAGAGGUCUUCGCCACCCGGAGGAGAAGGCGGCUACCGCUUACAGGGGAACUGACAUCAGGUUGGCGCAUCAGCUACCAGGGAAACCAGCGGCAGGAGCACGCCCCUCACAACCCCUCAGGAGUGAUGGUAAUCUCCACUUCACAGAGUUUCCAUGAGGACACCAAAAGAGCGCAUGGAACGUGGGAAAGUACGCACCCGAGGCUGCGGCAAGAUCAAGCGGCAGAGCCCCGACUUCACUGCUCCCCCCGAGGCGCCUGUGCCCAGGGGAGAAAUGCCUCCCCCAUCAAAGGCAGAGGAGGGCUAGCUCUUCUCUGCCCCAGGGCAGGAGGGAGCUAGUGCUGAUUGGGAUGGAGAACAAAGACAUGCAGGCCCCUGAACUCUGAGCAACCAAGGUCACAGGUAAGAAAACUGAGCUUCAGCAAGCGUAUGUGACUCAGCCAGAACUGCAGGGCUGGCCAUGAUCAAGGUCAGGAUUUCUUCCUCCAAGUCCUGCACUCUUUCCGGUGCUCCACAUUGCCUCUUAUUUCCCUAAGGGACUCUAUCCAAUAGCUUUUCAGAGUUCCUGUCUGAAGAGCACAGGAGCAGAGAAUUCGGAGUUUGAAAGGACCUGCCUCAUUUCCCGCACAAGGCAGGAACCCCUCCUGCAGUGUUCCUGGCGGAUGGGCGUCCUGUUUCUGGGAAGGGAAAGGAAGGAGAACCAACGUGAACAAACCCGCAAAGGACUGUAUCACUGAGGUUGCCUUCACUUAGAGAGUGCAAGUUCUAACUUGAUCAGCCUAAACC
Long non-coding RNA from Bos taurus (domestic cattle), 2504 nucleotides. The record is from Ensembl. Lineage: Eukaryota; Metazoa; Chordata; Mammalia; Artiodactyla; Bovidae.